RNAcentral lists this ribosomal RNA (245 nucleotides) under uncultured bacterium. Its description in RNAcentral is "partial 16S ribosomal RNA". It matches the Rfam family "Bacterial small subunit ribosomal RNA", at positions 524 to 768 of the family's 1533-position model. The record is from RNAcentral.
UACGUAGGUGGCAAGCGUUACUCGGAAUCACUAGGCGUAAAGCGCAGGUAGGCGGUUGGGUAAGUCCUUUGUGAAAGCUCCCGGCUUAACUGAGAGAGGCCAAGGGAAACUACCCGGCUAGAGUGUGGUAGAGGAAACUGGAAUUCCCGGUGUAGCGGUGAAAUGCGUAGAGAUCGGGAGGAACACCUAUGGCGAAAGCAGGUUUCUGGGCCAUCACUGACGCUGAGCUGCGAAAGCUAGGGGAG